Pelobates cultripes (western spadefoot toad) is the source of this 397-nucleotide non-coding RNA. NCBI's taxonomy places the organism in Eukaryota, Metazoa, Chordata, Amphibia, Anura, Pelobatidae. The record is from the annotation of a GenBank genome assembly.
GCAAGACAUAGCCUUACAUAUUACACGUGACAAUAUAUGGCGCAGUGACUUAUGGGGCUGGCACAAAUUUUUUUUCCAGGGCUGCUUUGUAUCCCCAGUCCAGCAAUAGUGUCCCUUUUUUUUUUAAACUUUCAGACGCCCGGUGUUCUGGUAAAACCCCUUAACCCGUACAAAUUUCCUACCCUUGUUACAUCUGGUGACAUGGCUGCACUGGAAGAGAGUCCAGCUAAACAGGCCAUCAUAACCCCCCUAGUGGGCAGUCCUUCCCAUUAUAGGCAUCAGUGACACAAAGGACAUCACUGGCAAUGUACCCCUCAGGGCCCGACCUGAUUGGGAGGUAUAUCACUGGUCAGAAGCACUGCUCUCUUCCCCCCAAGCCCAUGAACAAUUUAACCCC